Molecule: ribosomal RNA, 400 nt
Filed under: uncultured bacterium
Lineage: Bacteria
Description: bacterial SSU rRNA
Rfam family: Bacterial small subunit ribosomal RNA
Source: RNAcentral
UGAGGAAUAUUGGUCAAUGGGCGAGAGCCUGAACCAGCCAAAUCGCGUGCAGGAUGACUGCCUUAUGGGUUGUAAACUGCUUUUGUAAAGGAAUAACAACUCUUACGAGUAAGAGGAUGAAUGUACUUUAAGAAUAAGGAUCGGCUAACUCCGUGCCAGCAGCCGCGGUAAUACGGAGGAUCCAAGCGUUAUCCGGAUUUAUUGGGUUUAAAGGGUGCGUAGGCGGUGAUUUAAGUCAGUGGUGAAAGUUUGCAGCUCAACUGUAAAAUUGCCAUUGAAACUGGGUCACUUGAGUAUGGUAGAGGUAAGCGGAAUGCGUUGUGUAGCGGUGAAAUGCUUAGAUAUAACGCAGAACCCCAAUUGCGAAGGCAGCUUGCUGGACCAUUACUGACGCUGAGGC